UAGGGAAUCUUCCGCAAUGGACGAAAGUCUGACGGAGCAACGCCGCGUGAGUGAAGAAGGCUUUCGGUUCGUAAAACUCUGUUGUUAGGGAAGAAAAAAUGUAUAGUAACUAUAUACAAAAGAGACGGUACCUAACCAGAAAGCCACGGCUAACUACGUGCCAGCAGCCGCGGUAAUACGUAGGUGGCAAGCGUUGUCCGGAAUUAUUGGGCGUAAAGCGCGCGCAGGUGGUUUAGAAAGUCUGAUGUGAAAGCCCACGGCUCAACCGUGGAGGGUCAUUGGAAACUAAUAAACUUGAGUGCAGGAGAGAAAAGUGGAAUUCCUAGUGUAGCGGUGAAAUGCGUAGAGAUUAGGAGGAACACCGGUGGCGAAUGCGGCUUUUUGGCCUGCAACUGACACUGAGGCGCAAAAGCGUGGGGAGCAAACAGG
This 429-nucleotide ribosomal RNA is filed under the name Verrucomicrobiota bacterium. RNAcentral describes it as "Verrucomicrobia bacterium partial 16S ribosomal RNA". It matches the Rfam family "Bacterial small subunit ribosomal RNA", at positions 355 to 776 of the family's 1533-position model. Lineage: Bacteria; Pseudomonadati; Verrucomicrobiota. The record is from RNAcentral.